RNAcentral lists this transfer RNA (92 nucleotides) under Felis catus (domestic cat). It matches the Rfam family "tRNA". From Rfam's summary of the family: Transfer RNA (tRNA) molecules are approximately 80 nucleotides in length. RNAcentral also lists the same sequence under 3 other names. The record is from Rfam by way of RNAcentral. Lineage: Eukaryota; Metazoa; Chordata; Mammalia; Carnivora; Felidae.
GCCUGGGUGGCUCAGUCGGUUGAGCGCCUGACCCUUGGUUUCGGCUCAGGUCAUGAUCUCACAGUUUGUGGGUUCAAGCCCCACAUUGGGCU